RNAcentral lists this transfer RNA (84 nucleotides) under Faecalibacterium sp. AF28-13AC. RNAcentral's name for it is "tRNA-Leu". It matches the Rfam family "tRNA". From Rfam's summary of the family: Transfer RNA (tRNA) molecules are approximately 80 nucleotides in length. Their secondary structure includes four short double-helical elements and three loops (D, anti-codon, and T loops). Lineage: Bacteria; Bacillati; Bacillota; Clostridia; Eubacteriales; Oscillospiraceae. The record is from RNAcentral. RNAcentral also lists the same sequence under 1 other name.
GCCACCGUGGUGAAAUUGGCAGGCACGAGGGACUUAAAAUCCCUUUCUGGCAACAGAGUACGGGUUCAAAUCCCGUCGGUGGCA